UCUAAUAUGGCAGAUAAGUGCGGUGGAUUUAAGCUCCACAUAUAAAGUUCCCGCAACUUUUAUUAGAA
RNAcentral lists this transfer RNA (68 nucleotides) under Stolotermes victoriensis. RNAcentral's name for it is "tRNA-Leu". Lineage: Eukaryota; Metazoa; Arthropoda; Insecta; Blattodea; Termopsidae. The record is from RNAcentral.